This 144-nucleotide small RNA is filed under the name Arabidopsis thaliana (thale cress). RNAcentral's name for it is "ATSL161010". The record is from RNAcentral. Lineage: Eukaryota; Viridiplantae; Streptophyta; Magnoliopsida; Brassicales; Brassicaceae.
ACUUGGUCAUUAUUAACUUACAUUAAUUAAAUACAUGAUAGGCAUCAGAGUAUUUUUCAAGGACCUAUGUACAAGAACACUGACAACAGAUACCAUAGAACAAUUAGACAAGAAUAUCCCAGUGUUGCUCUGUAACUUAGAGAA